Molecule: transfer RNA, 70 nt
Filed under: Sinobatis borneensis (Borneo leg skate)
Lineage: Eukaryota; Metazoa; Chordata; Chondrichthyes; Rajiformes; Anacanthobatidae
Description: tRNA-Pro
Rfam family: tRNA
About the family: Transfer RNA (tRNA) molecules are approximately 80 nucleotides in length.
Source: RNAcentral
CAGGGAAUGGUUUAAGCAAAAAUCUUGGCUUUGGAAGCCAAGGAUGGGAGUUAAACCCUCUCUUUCCUGA